UGGUUUAAUUCGAUGCAACGCGAAGAACCUUACCUGGUCUUGACAUCCACAGAACUUUCCAGAGAUGGAUUGGUGCCUUCGGGAACUGUGAGACAGGUGCUGCAUGGCUGUCGUCAGCUCGUGUUGUGAAAUGUUGGGUUAAGUCCCGCAACGAGCGCAACCCUUAUCCUUUGUUGCCAGCGGUCCGGCCGGGAACUCAAAGGAGACUGCCAGUGAUAAACUGGAGGAAGGUGGGGAUGACGUCAAGUCAUCAUGGCCCUUACGACCAGGGCUACACACGUGCUACAAUGGCGCAUACAAAGAGAAGCGACCUCGCGAGAGCAAGCGGACCUCAUAAAGUGCGUCGUAGUCCGGAUUGGAGUCUGCAACUCGACUCCAUGAAGUCGGAAUCGCUAGUAAUCGUGGAUCAGAAUGCCACGGUGAAUACGUUCCCGGGCCUUGUACACACCGCCCGUCACACCAUGGGAGUGGGUUGCAAAAGAAGUAGGUAGCUUAACCUUCGGGAGGGCGCUUACCACUUUGUGAUUCAUGACUGGGGUGAAGUCGUAACAAGGUAACCGUAGGGGAACCUGCGGUUGGAUCAC
Molecule: ribosomal RNA, 584 nt
Filed under: Escherichia coli
Lineage: Bacteria; Pseudomonadati; Pseudomonadota; Gammaproteobacteria; Enterobacterales; Enterobacteriaceae
Description: bacterial SSU rRNA
Rfam family: Bacterial small subunit ribosomal RNA
Source: RNAcentral